AUUGAACGCUGGCGGCAUGCCUUACACAUGCAAGUCGAACGGCAGCGCGGACUUCGGUCUGGCGGCGAGUGGCGAACGGGUGAGUAAUACAUCGGAACGUACCCUGUUGUGGGGGAUAACUAGUCGAAAGAUUAGCUAAUACCGCAUACGACCUGAGGGUGAAAGUGGGGGACCGCAAGGCCUCACGCAGCAGGAGCGGCCGAUGUCUGAUUAGCUAGUUGGUGGGGUAAAGGCCCACCAAGGCGACGAUCAGUAGCUAGUCUGAGAGGACGAUCAGCCACACUGGGACUGAGACACGGCCCAGACUCCUACGGGAGGCAGCAGUGGGGAAUUUUGGACAAUGGGGGCAACCCUGAUCCAGCAAUGCCGCGUGUGUGAAGAAGGCCUUCGGGUUGUAAAGCACUUUUGUCCGGAAAGAAAUCGUGCUGGUUAAUACCUGGCGUGGAUGACGGUACCGGAAGAAUAAGCACCGGCUAACUACGUG
Molecule: ribosomal RNA, 484 nt
Filed under: uncultured bacterium
Lineage: Bacteria
Description: partial 16S ribosomal RNA
Rfam family: Bacterial small subunit ribosomal RNA
Source: RNAcentral